GAUUGCAGUCUGCGAGAUCUUCGCUUGAUUUUAAAUUAGCCGACUUUUAAUACGCGUGCUAUUGCAUGCCACGCUGAUACGGUCGGCGCGUUCACAUUUAUGCGCCGAUGAUGCUACCUAUUGGCGGGAAGAACGGAGACUGCAAGGGUUGGUCUUUCGUGGAAUCGAUUGGAAAUUUGCAAACUCAUUACUCGAGGGUUAUUGUGUAUCGGAAGUGAAGUGUGCAAAACGCAUCCGCCGCACCUCACUUGUCACGAGUAGUUAAUAAAUAGGCGGCUAAUGAAAAUCUUUAUUAGACGUGACGACGCUAAUCAGCCAAGCUAAUGACCUUACAUGGAAGAUAGAAUUGGAUGAAGCUUCUCAAAGGAAUUCUUUAAAUAUCAUUAACGAUUUAUAUGCAUGCAUACAUGAUGCAGGUCGUUAAGAACUUCAAUCAGCUAAACGCGACCAUAGUAGUAAAAUCUGCUCGUUAAACAGCAGCAGAUUGAUAAGGUGAUAACUGAAGAGUCAUCAUUCGAGCUACGUUAGGGUGAUUCGUGUAAUAUUCAAUUAAAAUAUCAGCAUAAACUAAUAAUACAAUUUUAACAAUAAACCAUAUAGUAACGUUAAAG
Molecule: long non-coding RNA, 611 nt
Organism: Cephus cinctus (wheat stem sawfly)
Lineage: Eukaryota; Metazoa; Arthropoda; Insecta; Hymenoptera; Cephidae
Exons: 4
Source: RefSeq, a predicted model, not a curated record